AGGAUUAUAAUAAAAUAUAAUAUUUAUUUUGCUAAUAAAAAAAAUUAAUUAAUAAUUAAUUUUUUCUCAAA
RNAcentral lists this transfer RNA (71 nucleotides) under Nogodinidae sp. Its description in RNAcentral is "tRNA-Ala". Lineage: Eukaryota; Metazoa; Arthropoda; Insecta; Hemiptera; Nogodinidae. The record is from RNAcentral.